GACGAACGCUGGCGGCGUGCUUAACACAUGCAAGUCGAGCGGAAAGGCCCUUCGGGGUACUCGAGCGGCGAACGGGUGAGUAACACGUGAGUAACCUGCCCCAGACUUUGGGAUAACCCUCGGAAACGGGGGCUAAUACCGGAUACGACACAGCUUCGCAUGGGGUCUGUGUGGAAAGUUUUUCGGUUUGGGAUGGGCUCGCGGCCUAUCAGCUUGUUGGUGGGGUGAUGGCCUACCAAGGCGACGACGGGUAGCCGGCCUGAGAGGGCGACCGGCACACUGGGACUGAGACACGGCCCAGACUCCUACGGGAGGCAGCAGUGGGGAAUAUUGCACAAUGGGCGGAAGCCUGAUGCAGCGACGCCGCGUGAGGGAUGACGGCCUUCGGGUUGUAAACCUCUUUCAGCAGGGACGAAGCGUAAGUGACGGUACCUGCAGAAGAAGCGCCGGCCAACUACGUG
RNAcentral lists this ribosomal RNA (461 nucleotides) under uncultured bacterium. Its description in RNAcentral is "partial 16S ribosomal RNA". It matches the Rfam family "Bacterial small subunit ribosomal RNA", at positions 28 to 507 of the family's 1533-position model. The record is from RNAcentral.